GCGUCCGUGGUGUAAUGGCUGCAUCCAAGCUUCCCAAGCUUGUGGUUCGGGUUCAAUUCCCGGCGGGCGCA
RNAcentral lists this transfer RNA (71 nucleotides) under archaeon. RNAcentral's name for it is "tRNA-Gly". It matches the Rfam family "tRNA". From Rfam's summary of the family: Transfer RNA (tRNA) molecules are approximately 80 nucleotides in length. Their secondary structure includes four short double-helical elements and three loops (D, anti-codon, and T loops). The record is from RNAcentral.